AAAGUGAGCAAAGGGAAUACUGUUGGGAUUCAAGAGUUCAACAAGAUGCAGUUUUAUAGAAGCUGUGUGAGGAAUCCUACUGAACCAGUAAUUAGAUUUCAUGCAGGUAAUUUGACUAUGAUUCCAAGACUUUUAGCUCACAUUAUUACAUGGCAACUCAAUCCUAGAGGUAGCAAUCAUGUUGUUCUUCAUGAGGAAGACUUGAUAUUGCUUUACUGCA
Molecule: long non-coding RNA, 220 nt
Filed under: Phaseolus vulgaris (common bean)
Lineage: Eukaryota; Viridiplantae; Streptophyta; Magnoliopsida; Fabales; Fabaceae
Description: long non-coding RNA (PVUL_LNC001763)
Source: RNAcentral